This 408-nucleotide ribosomal RNA is filed under the name Triticum aestivum (bread wheat). RNAcentral describes it as "partial small subunit ribosomal RNA". The record is from RNAcentral. Lineage: Eukaryota; Viridiplantae; Streptophyta; Magnoliopsida; Poales; Poaceae.
AUGUCUUGUUUCAAGCUUACUCGUGGCCUGUGCGAGCACCUAAACUCAUUGAUUUGCAAGUUUUGGUGGGCAUGUAAGGAAGGAAAAAGAAAGCCUAGCUGGGUGUCUUGGAGCACCAUGACCAGACCAAGGCUUGGAGGACUAAGUUUUCGCGACAUUGAGCUCUUCAACCUAGCCUUACUUGCCAGGCAAGCUUGGAGAAUUCUGACAGACUCUACUUCUCUCAGUGCACGAAUCCUACGAGCCAAAUACUUCCCUUCGAGUGACUUUUUGCAUGCUGUACUUGGAUCGGCACCCUCGCAGGUGUGGAGAGCUAUCCUCGAAGGGCAUGACACCAUGACACAGGGCCUGGUUCACCGCAUUGGUGAUGGCCAAAUGACACAAAUUUGGCAACACAAUUGGCUCCCU